UGCAUAUCAAUAGCGGAGGAAAAGAAACCAACCGGGAUUGCCCCAGUAGCGGCGAGUGAAGCGGCAGGAGCUCUAGUUUGAAAUCUUCGGAGAUGUAGAGACGGGGAGUGGGCAUUGGAGUCCCCUGGAACGGGGCGCGACGCGAGGUGACAGCCCUCGGAGACCAGCCCCCUGUCUGGUGAGUCGAGUUGUUUGGGAAUGCAGCUCUAGUGGUGGUAUGCUCCAUCUGCGGCUAAAUAUUGGCGAGAGACCGAUAGCAGACAAGUACUGUGAAGGAAAGAUGAAAAGCACUUUGAAAAGAGAGUGAAAGAGGGCGUGAAAUUGUUGAAAGGGAAGGGUGGGUUUCUGUGGAGAUCCACCGCCCGUCUUGAAACACGGACCA
Molecule: ribosomal RNA, 382 nt
Filed under: Pichia sorboxylosa
Lineage: Eukaryota; Fungi; Ascomycota; Pichiomycetes; Pichiales; Pichiaceae
Description: [Candida] sorboxylosa partial large subunit ribosomal RNA
Rfam family: Eukaryotic large subunit ribosomal RNA
Source: RNAcentral